GUCAUCAUGGCCCUUACGACCAGGGCUACACACGUGCUACAAUGGCGCAUACAAAGAGAAGCGACCUCGCGAGAGCAAGCGGACCUCAUAAAGUGCGUCGUAGUCCGGAUUGGAGUCUGCAACUCGACUCC
RNAcentral lists this ribosomal RNA (131 nucleotides) under Cronobacter malonaticus 681. RNAcentral's name for it is "Small Subunit Ribosomal RNA; ssuRNA; SSU rRNA". It matches the Rfam family "Bacterial small subunit ribosomal RNA", at positions 1189 to 1319 of the family's 1533-position model. Lineage: Bacteria; Pseudomonadati; Pseudomonadota; Gammaproteobacteria; Enterobacterales; Enterobacteriaceae. The record is from RNAcentral.